Drosophila melanogaster (fruit fly) is the source of this 553-nucleotide non-coding RNA. NCBI's taxonomy places the organism in Eukaryota, Metazoa, Arthropoda, Insecta, Diptera, Drosophilidae. The record is from Ensembl.
UCGCAAAUCAAGAGAGACAAAAUACAGGAUCGGUUACAGUUUUGCAGUCCUAAAGUUGACACAACAUUGCAAUUCGCAAACCCAACCCAAAGAACCGUAAACUCACUCUCUUUGUCACCUCCUUGUGAACUCUCCACUUUCAUAACUGCACGCUCUCUCCGGAACCGCCCGUAAGCUUGCCAUUUAGUUGCCUUUCGGUUUUCGAUCCCGUCGGCUCGCAGGUACAAAAGCACGGAGAAAUGGCUGCACUUGUCCGUAAGUAAUGAAGUACCGUUUUCGUGUGAAGUGUAUUUUUUGUAUGUGAUUAAGUGCCGUUUCAAUUUUGCGCUGGUGCGCAGGCGACUUAUGAUCGGAUACAGUUUUGCAGGUGACACAACAUUGGAGCUCGCAAACCCAACCUGAAUAACCGUAAACUCAUUCUCUUUGUCACCUCCUUGUGAACUCUCCACUCUCACAACUGCACGCUCUCCCCGGAAUCGCCCGUAAGCUUGCCAUUUAGUUGCCUUUCGGUUUUCGAUCCCGUCGGUUCGCAGGUACAAAAGCACGGAGAAAU